This 424-nucleotide ribosomal RNA is filed under the name uncultured bacterium. RNAcentral describes it as "bacterial SSU rRNA". It matches the Rfam family "Bacterial small subunit ribosomal RNA", at positions 356 to 772 of the family's 1533-position model. The record is from RNAcentral.
GGGGAAUUUUGCGCAAUGGGCGAAAGCCUGACGCAGCAACGCCGCGUGUGUGACGACGGCCCUAGGGUUGUAAAGCACUUUUGGAGGGGACAAAAAGCGUCGUUCUCACAACGCGGCGUCUUGAUUUAACCCUCAUAAGAAGCACCGGCUAAAUCUGUGCCAGCAGCCGCGGUAAUACAGAGGGUGCAAGCGUUAAUCGGAAUUACUGGGCGUAAAGCGCACGCAGGCGGCUGCAUAAGCCGGUCGUGAAAUCCCCGGGCUUAACCUGGGAAUUGCAAUCGGGACUGUGCGGCUAGAGUGUUGGAGAGGACAGCGGAAUUCCCGGUGUAGCAGUGAAAUGCGUAGAUAUCGGGAGGAACAUCAGUGGCGAAGGCGGCUGUCUGGCCAAACACUGACGCUCAGGUGCGAAAGCGUGGGGGGCAAA